Molecule: ribosomal RNA, 497 nt
Filed under: uncultured bacterium
Lineage: Bacteria
Description: partial 16S ribosomal RNA
Rfam family: Bacterial small subunit ribosomal RNA
Source: RNAcentral
GACGAACGCUGGCGGCGUGCCUAAUACAUGCAAGUUGAGCGAUGAAGGUUGGUACUUGUACCAACUGGAUGAGCAGCGAACGGGUGAGUAACGCGUGGGGAAUCUGCCUUUGAGAGGGGGACAACAUUUGGAAACGAAUGCUAAUACCGCAUAAAAACUUUAAACACAUGUUUUAAGAUUGAAAGAUGCAAUUGCAUCAACCAAUGAUGAUACCGCGUUGUCUUAGCUAGUUGGUGAGGUAAAGGCUCACCAAGGCGAUGAUACAUAGCCGACCUGAAGAGGUGAUCCGGCACAUUUGGACUGGGACCCCGCCCAAACUCCCACGGGAGGCAGCAAUAGGGAAAUCUCGGGCAUUGAGGGAAGGCCUACCGAACAACGCCGGCUGAGUUGAUGAGGGUUUUGGAUCGUUAAACUUCUUUGAUAGAGAAGAACGAUAUGUGUAGUUAACAGCGCAUCAAGUGACGGUAACUACCCAGAAAGCCACGGCUAACUACGUG